RNAcentral lists this non-coding RNA (21 nucleotides) under Caenorhabditis elegans. The record is from RNAcentral. Lineage: Eukaryota; Metazoa; Nematoda; Chromadorea; Rhabditida; Rhabditidae.
UGCAUUCAGAAAAGUCUUGUU